UCAGAUAUGGUGUUGUGGUGACAUGGCCUCCUCAAAUAUGGGACUGAUUUAGACAACUAUUGGGGGCAGUCCGGGGUUCAAUUCCCUGUGUCUGAA
Non-coding RNA from Mycena galericulata, 96 nucleotides. The record is from the annotation of a GenBank genome assembly. NCBI's taxonomy places the organism in Eukaryota, Fungi, Basidiomycota, Agaricomycetes, Agaricales, Mycenaceae.